This 253-nucleotide ribosomal RNA is filed under the name uncultured bacterium. RNAcentral's name for it is "partial 16S ribosomal RNA". It matches the Rfam family "Bacterial small subunit ribosomal RNA", at positions 524 to 776 of the family's 1533-position model. The record is from RNAcentral.
UACGGAGGAUCCAAGCGUUAUCCGGAAUCAUUGGGUUUAAAGGGUCCGUAGGUGGUUUUAUAAGUCAGUGGUGAAAGUUUGCGGCUCAACCGUAAAAUUGCCAUUGAUACUGUAGGACUUGAAUUAUUGUGAAGUGGUUAGAAUAAGUAGUGUAGCGGUGAAAUGCAUAGAUAUUACUUAGAAUACCGAUUGCGAAGGCAGAUCACUAACAAUGUAUUGACACUGAGGGACGAAAGCGUGGGUAGCGAACAGG